This 196-nucleotide ribosomal RNA is filed under the name uncultured bacterium. Its description in RNAcentral is "partial 16S ribosomal RNA". It matches the Rfam family "Bacterial small subunit ribosomal RNA", at positions 326 to 539 of the family's 1533-position model. The record is from RNAcentral.
ACGCUCGACACCUACGGGACAGCAGUGGGGAAUAUUGCACAAUGGGGGAAACCCUGAUGCAGCGACGCCGCGUGGAGGAAGAAGGUCUUCGGAUUGUAAACUCCUGUUGUUGGGGAAAAAGAGGAUGGUACCCAACAAGGAAGUGACGGCUAACUACGUGCCAGCAGCCGCGGUAAUCUGAGCGGGCUGGCAAGGC